UCGAGAGAGGUGAGUGGAAUUCCGAGUGUAGAGGUGAAAUUCGUAGAUAUUCGGAGGAACACCAGUGGCGAAGGCGGCUCACUGGCUCGAUACUGACGCUGAGGUGCGAAAGUGUGGGGAGCAAACAGGAUUAGAUACCCUGGUAGUCCACACCGUAAACGAUGAAUGCCAGUCGUCGGGUAGCAUGCUGCUCGGUGACACACCUAACGGAUUAAGCAUUCCGCCUGGGGAGUACGGUCGCAAGAUUAAAACUCAAAGGAAUUGACGGGGGCCCGCACAAGCGGUGGAGCAUGUGGUUUAAUUCGAAACAACGCGCAGAACCUUACCAACCCUUGACAUCCUGUGCCACUACCAGAGAUGGUACGUUCCCUUCGGGGACGCAGUGACAGGUGCUGCAUGGCUGUCGUCAGCUCGUGUCGUGAGAUGUUCGGUUAAGUCCGGCAACGAGCGCAACCCACAUCCUUAGUUGCCAGCAGUUCGGCUGGGCACUCUAGGGAAACUGCCCGUGAUAAGCGGGAGGAAGGUGUGGAUGACGUCAAGUCCUCAUGGCCCUUACGGGUUGGGCUACACACGUGCUACAAUGGCAGUGACAAUGGGUUAAUCCCCAAAAGCUGUCUCAGUUCGGAUUGGGGUCUGCAACUCGACCCCAUGAAGUCGGAAUCGCUAGUAAUCGCGUAACAGCAUGACGCGGUGAAUACGUUCCCGGGCCUUGUACACACCGCCCGUCACAUCAUGGGAGUUGGUUCUACCCGACGACGCUGCGCUAACCUUCGGGAGGCAGGCGGCCACGGUAGGAUCAAAGAGGGGGAUGAAGUCGUAACAAGGUAACCGUA
This 833-nucleotide ribosomal RNA is filed under the name uncultured bacterium. RNAcentral's name for it is "bacterial SSU rRNA". It matches the Rfam family "Bacterial small subunit ribosomal RNA", at positions 648 to 1504 of the family's 1533-position model. The record is from RNAcentral.